This 281-nucleotide ribosomal RNA is filed under the name Acinetobacter baumannii. RNAcentral describes it as "partial 16S ribosomal RNA". It matches the Rfam family "Bacterial small subunit ribosomal RNA", at positions 1254 to 1533 of the family's 1533-position model. Lineage: Bacteria; Pseudomonadati; Pseudomonadota; Gammaproteobacteria; Moraxellales; Moraxellaceae. The record is from RNAcentral.
ACAGCGAUGUGAUGCUAAUCUCAAAAAGCCGAUCGUAGUCCGGAUUGGAGUCUGCAACUCGACUCCAUGAAGUCGGAAUCGCUAGUAAUCGCGGAUCAGAAUGCCGCGGUGAAUACGUUCCCGGGCCUUGUACACACCGCCCGUCACACCAUGGGAGUUUGUUGCACCAGAAGUAGCUAGCCUAACUGCAAAGAGGGCGGUUACCACGGUGUGGCCGAUGACUGGGGUGAAGUCGUAACAAGGUAGCCGUAGGGGAACCUGCGGCUGGAUCACCUCCUUAA